RNAcentral lists this ribosomal RNA (405 nucleotides) under uncultured bacterium. RNAcentral describes it as "partial 16S ribosomal RNA". It matches the Rfam family "Bacterial small subunit ribosomal RNA", at positions 28 to 526 of the family's 1533-position model. The record is from RNAcentral.
GAUGAACGCUGGCGGCGUGCCUAAUACAUGCAAGUCGAGCGAAGCGGGGACGGGUGAGUAACACGUGGAUAACCUCCUAUAAGACUGGGCUAACUUCGGGAAACCGUAGCUAAACCGGAUCCUUAUAGAUUGAUCCUCGCUGCAUUAGCUAGUUGGUAAGGUACCGGCUUAACAAGGCAACGAUGCAUCGCCGACCUAAGAGGGUGAUCGGCCACACUGGAACGGAUACACGGUCCAGACGCCUCCGGGAGGCAGCAGUAGGGAAUCUUCCGCAAUGGGCGAAAGCCUGAUGGAGCAACGCCGCGUGAGUUAUGAAGGUCUUCGGAUCGUAAAACUCUGUUAUUAGGGAAGCGGUACCCAAUCAGAAAGCCACGGCUAACUACGUGCCAGCCGCCGCGGUAAUUC